GGAGGGUGCAAGCGUUAAUCGGAAUUACUGGGCGUAAAGCGCACGCAGGCGGUUUGUUAAGUCAGAUGUGAAAUCCCCGGGCUCAACCUGGGAACUGCAUCUGAUACUGGCAAGCUUGAGUCUCGUAGAGGGGGGUAGAAUUCCAGGUGUAGCGGUGAAAUGCGUAGAGAUCUGGAGGAAUACCGGUGGCGAAGGCGGCCCCCUGGACGAAGACUGACGCUCAGGUGCGAAAGCGUGGGGAGCAAA
RNAcentral lists this ribosomal RNA (246 nucleotides) under uncultured bacterium. Its description in RNAcentral is "partial 16S ribosomal RNA". It matches the Rfam family "Bacterial small subunit ribosomal RNA", at positions 527 to 772 of the family's 1533-position model. The record is from RNAcentral.